This 301-nucleotide ribosomal RNA is filed under the name uncultured bacterium. Its description in RNAcentral is "partial 16S ribosomal RNA". It matches the Rfam family "Bacterial small subunit ribosomal RNA", at positions 509 to 807 of the family's 1533-position model. The record is from RNAcentral.
CAGCCGCCACGGGAAUACGUAGGUGGCGAGCGUUGUCCGGAUUUAUUGGGCGUAAAGGGAGUGUAGGCGGUCUUUUAAGUCUGAUGUGAAAGCCCACGGCUCAACCGUGGAGGGUCAUUGGAAACUGGGAGACUUGAGUGCAGAAGAGGAGAGCGGAAUUCCAUGUGUAGCGGUGAAAUGCGUAGAUAUAUGGAGGAACACCAGUGGCGAAGGCGACUCUCUGGUCUGUAACUGACGCUGAGGCGCGAAAGCGUGGGGAGCAAACAGGAUUAGAUACCCCGGUAGUCCCUGUCUCUUAUAC